GAUGAAGAACGUAGUGAAAUGCGAUAAGUAAUGCGAAUUGCAGAAUUCAGUGAAUCAUCGAAUCUUUGAACGCACAUUGCGCCCGCCAGUAUUCUGGCGGGCAUGCCUGUCUGAGCGUCGUUUCGACCCUCGCGCCCGGCUUCUGUCGGGGGCGGUGUUGGGGAUCGGCCACACCCUUCAGUGGGAGGCCGGCCCCUAAAUUCAGUGGCGACCACGCUGUAGCCUCCCCUGCGUAGUACUAAAACCACCUCGCAGGCGGAGAGCGGUUCGGCCCGCCGUAAAACCCCCCAACUUUUACAAGGUCGACCUCAGAUCAGGUAGGAAUACCCGCUGAACUUAAGCAUAUCAAUAAGCGGAGGA
Molecule: unclassified non-coding RNA, 360 nt
Filed under: soil metagenome
Description: partial contains 5.8S ribosomal RNA, internal transcribed spacer 2, and large subunit ribosomal RNA
Rfam family: 5.8S ribosomal RNA (bases 1-120)
Source: RNAcentral